Molecule: small RNA, 83 nt
Filed under: Lacinutrix sp. 5H-3-7-4
Lineage: Bacteria; Pseudomonadati; Bacteroidota; Flavobacteriia; Flavobacteriales; Flavobacteriaceae
Description: Flavo-1 RNA
Rfam family: Flavo-1 RNA
Source: Rfam by way of RNAcentral
AUUUUGCGUGAAGGAUGGCAGUGGCAUCCUUUUUUUGCUUGCCUAUAUGGCAAAAAAAGAUAUAACGUACAGCCUGACCUAAA